RNAcentral lists this ribosomal RNA (253 nucleotides) under uncultured bacterium. RNAcentral's name for it is "partial 16S ribosomal RNA". It matches the Rfam family "Bacterial small subunit ribosomal RNA", at positions 524 to 776 of the family's 1533-position model. The record is from RNAcentral.
UACAGAGGUGGCAAGCGUUGUUCGGAAUUACUGGGCGUAAAGAGCUCGUAGGCGGGGGCGUGCGUCCGAGAAGAAAUCUCAAGGCUCAACCUUGGGGCUAUCUCGGAUACGGCGCUUCUUGAGGGUGAGAGAGGAAAGCGGAAUUCCAGGUGUAGCGGUGAAAUUCGUAGAUAUCGAGAGGAACACCGGUGGCGAAGGCGGCCUUCUGGACAGUGACUGACGCUGAGACGCGAAAGCGUGGGGAGCAAACAGG